GUUCAGUUAGCAGAUAGUUAUUCGAACACAUAGGAGACGUUCUAUGUCAUUUGAUUAUGAUAAUCUUAGAAGAUUAACGCAAUGACACCUUUACAACUCUGGGGCACAUUUCUAUUCUGGUUCAGACCUUGACACAGGCUAUAACCCAACAUAUUACAUAAGGAAACCAGCUCAUUCCUGCACUGGGAUUUAUAGUGCCCUCUCUCAUGGCAUCAAAAGCAAGUGCUUAUU
RNAcentral lists this long non-coding RNA (231 nucleotides) under Elaeis guineensis (African oil palm). Its description in RNAcentral is "long non-coding RNA (EGUI_LNC022443)". Lineage: Eukaryota; Viridiplantae; Streptophyta; Magnoliopsida; Arecales; Arecaceae. The record is from RNAcentral.